AUACAGGGGCUCAGUUAUUCAUUUAAUCGAUUUCCCAAUCGAUUGAAUUAAGCCCAGAGUACAGUUUUCACGAAAAACCCUCAGGAAAUCGAUUGGCUUUAACACAGGGGCUCAGUUAUUUAUUCAAUCGAUUUCCCAAUCGAUUGAUUUAAGCCCACAGUUCAGUUUUCACUAAAACCCUUCAUCCAAAUCGAUUUCUCAAUCGAUUGGCUUAGUGGAAAUUCUUAUUUUGAGUUAGAUGAUCGAUUGCUCAAUUGGUUCAUCAAUGGAUUGGCCAGUUGUUUAUUACUUGAUUGAUUUAAGACUUAUUUUGACUUCAUUUUCAUUUGGCAAGUGUUAUAUGAACUUUUAGCAUAUGGAAAAUCCUUUUAAGGUGCAUGCUUAGUGGAAAAGUUAUUUUGUGCAUUCAAAAACUUAAAUGGUAUGUGUUAACUGUUAAUUUCGGUUGGUGACCCUUUACAACUAUUGUGGAAAUCUGGGCUUUGCCCUCAUAUGAGAGUCAGGACAAUCCUACCGGUUUGUACCCUGUGGAUGGGAAUGUAGACGGGAACGCCUGACUGGGGCGUGGAGAUCACUCAUGGUUUAUAGUUUUUUUAGUAGAAUGAUCAGAUUAGGUUGACAUAGAGGGAACAAAUGUCUUUAUUUUGGAUUGCAUUUAUUUUAAAUUGCAAGAUUGUAUCUUUACUAAUAUUGUC
RNAcentral lists this long non-coding RNA (695 nucleotides) under Cicer arietinum (chickpea). RNAcentral describes it as "long non-coding RNA (CARI_LNC002343)". The record is from RNAcentral. Lineage: Eukaryota; Viridiplantae; Streptophyta; Magnoliopsida; Fabales; Fabaceae.